UGGAUCACCUCCUAACAGGGAGACAACAAAAUGUUAAAUAUUAAUUUUGUCACCUUAGGUCGAUCGGUAUCUCACAUUCUUAAUUUAUUAAGGAUUUCACUUCUUAAGUUUUUUCUAGGUCACACCCAUUAUUUUCCCUGGGCCAUUAGCUCAGGUGGUUAGAGCGCACCCCUGAUAAGGGUGAGGUCCCUGGUUCAAGUCCAGGAUGGCCCAUAUCUCUAUGUUGGGGGUAUAGCUCAGUUGGUAGAGCGCCUGCUUUGCAAGCAGGAUGUCAGCGGUUCGAGUCCGCUUACCUCCACUGAUUACCACCUCUUCCAUAAUCAAUAGGAAGGGAAUAUUAUGUGUUGUGAUCAAAUUCUGAACGAAUCUAGCUUCCUAAUGAAAUCAUUAAGAUGCUGGACUCAUUGAAUUAUUUUCAUUGUUUUCAGAGAACCUUGACAACUGCAUAGAUUAUUUUUAAAGACAAUAAGCAUCUUUAAUGAUGCAGAUUUUUUAUUUGUGCGAAUGCAUUAAUAACAAUUCUAUUAAGCUGAUGCUUCAAUUUUGAAGUUAUUGGUCAAGCUACAAAGGGCUCACGGAGGAUACCUAGGCACACAGAGGCGAUGAAGG
This 609-nucleotide transfer RNA is filed under the name uncultured Prochlorococcus sp. RNAcentral describes it as "partial contains 16S ribosomal RNA, 16S-23S ribosomal RNA intergenic spacer, and 23S ribosomal RNA". The stretch from base 226 to 298 matches the Rfam family "tRNA". Lineage: Bacteria; Bacillati; Cyanobacteriota; Cyanophyceae; Synechococcales; Prochlorococcaceae. The record is from RNAcentral.